CUAAGCAAACUUUGCCAGCAGAAGCCAGAGACCUGGGACACAUCUGGACGCGGUUAUUUUUGGGUUUAGGACAAAAAAAAGUUGACCACACGUCAUUUACCAUAUUUUAUCAUGUUUGGACGAGAGGCCCGCUACCCCUCUGAAGUUCCAGAAUCUUAUUGAGAACAUUCCAGAGAGAUUCAGUGCUGAGUAAACUUGGAGUAACUUCUAGAACUUUAUCGAACUUUCCAGUAAUAUAAAUAGUAGUAUAAAUACAGGGGCCUUAAGCCCACCAGUUCAGUUUAGUUCCAGCUGCCUAAGUGGAUACAUAUCUGCAUUUUUCUGAGAUGGCAUCAAGAGGCUGCAAGCAUCCAGCAGACGCAUUUUGCUAUGUCUGCGGCCAAUUUAUCAAGACGAGUGAAAAAGUACUCUGUGGAAGCAUCUGCUAAGAUGUGCGAGGCCUACAAGGCAUAUUUCGGCAUGCCUGUCGGGGAUCAAGACAAACCCUGGGCACCUCAUUUCACCUGCGAGCACUGCAAAAAAACUCUGGAAGGAUGGUACAGAGGGGAAAAGAGCCAUGAAGUUCGCUAUCCCAAGAAUUUAGCGGGAACCAACUGACCACUCAAGCAACUGCUACUUCUGCAUGGUGGACCCUUCCAAGCAGACAGAGUUCUCUGUGGGGAGGAACAACGUCAAGUGGGAGCCACUGGUGGACCCCUGGAAGGUGCUGAUGCCACCACUGCACAUCAAAUUGGGCCUUAUGAAACAAUUUGUCAGAGCUCUAGAUAAGGAGUCGGCAGCCAUCAAGUACUUUCAAGACUUCUUCCCUAAGCUGUCUGAGGCAAAGGUCAAAGCCGGUGUCUUCAUCGGACCACAGAUAAAGAAGAUCCUGGAGUGCAAUGAAUUCCCCAAGAAGCUCACUAGUAAGGAGAAAGCGGCUUGGAACAGCUUUGUCACAGUGGUUCGGGGCUUCCUGGGCAAUCACAAGGCCGAAAACUAUGUGGAGCUGGUUGAGACUCUGGUGAAGAACUACGGCACAAUGGGCUGUAGGAUGUCCCUCAAAGUCCAUAUCCUUGAAAAUCAUCUUGAUAAAUUCAAGGAGAACAUGGGAGCGUACUCGGAGGAGCAAGGCGAGCGCUUCCACCAGGAUAUACUGGACUUUGAACGCCGCUACCAAGGACAGUAUAACGAGAACAUGAUGGGAGACUACAUUUGGGGGCUGAUUCGUGAAAGUGAUUUACAGUAUAAUCGUAAAUCUCAAACUACUCGCUUCUAAAUCUUUUGUAGUCAUUUUUGUAUUACUUUAGUAUAAAUACAUGUUAAUUUGGAGUCAUAUAUGUUUUUUUCUGACUUUAUGUGAACAAAAAGACACACAUUCGCCCGUUUUCUCAUUGGAAAUAGGUAAAUUUCAAAAUAUCACUGUCCUGGUCACAAAAGCAAAGUUUGUGGGGAAUAAUAGCCAUUUUCUAUACUUUUGAGGCAUAAGCAAUUAGGAAAUAACACUUACUACCCAGGAACUAAAAUUGUGUUACAUAGUGUAGCCACAUAAACAUUAAAAAUUGUGACAGUAUGGCUUGCCGUGCGCAGGUGUGGUGACAUCACGGACCAGGAACACAAAACCAAAAUAAGGAAUGGAGGUGCAAAACUGGAGCGCAACUGCGCUCAGGGUUUUAUUAAAUAAUAAAACCAACAGUUCAAACAAAACAAAAAGGCGCGUCGGCCGAACAAACAGAAAUAAACAAAUAAGUAUCGUGCUGGUGUAAAAACCAGCACGCUUAGCAGUUUGUGUUAAUUUCUUUACCUCCAAACUCCUCACUUGUUCUCCACUCUCGAACACCCUCACCCUGAGCGCAGACAGCUGCAGGCUUUUAUAUUCUGGCCGAGGGGUUAACUAGCAAUUAAUUAAUUAUCCUAUUACCCCUCGGCCAUAGUCUGGACAAGUUUAAAAAGGAUGCGUGACUGUCAGCUAGAAAAAUAAAUUGCAGGCUCAUCAGUCACACAUCCUCACAAGGUUUUAAUCAAAUAAUGACGGCUUUCAUCCGCGAUGCAAACAAUAAUAACACAAAUAAUACAUAUAGGGGAGGGACACUCCGCCACAGAAAUGUAUAUCAAUAUAGGUAUUCCGUACAUUUAUAUACUUGUUCAAUUUCUAAUCCGUCAAAAGUGCUUUCAAGAAGAGAGGUGAAAAAAAUAAAUAAAUCUAUUUGUCCCCCCCCCAGACUAUUAGUAACAUUGUAUUUAAUGUAACAAACUUUGUAACAACAUUUCAAAUGUUACUACCCCUCUGGCUACAAUGUUUCAGUUUCAUGGAGAACAAUGCAGUAACAGCUCACAACACCUUAUAUAACUCUGUGGUCUCUCACCUCUUCUUAAGGUCAAAUGAAGUAGUGCCUUAAAUGUCUAUAUAAAUGGGAUUUUGAAUCAAUGUAUUAAAAGCUAUUUCAAUUCACUUUUACGCAACAGUUCUUUUGAACAGUGCAAUAUGUGUAAGCAACAUUUAAAAAUAACUCUUCAUAACAGAGAUCACAUUUAUCCAGAAAUGUCCAUUGUAGUUAAACACUAUUAUACCACAUGGUGCUACAGAUAAAAAUGUAACAAUGACAAAGAAUAAAAUUUCCUGAGAAGAAAAAAAUAAAGCCAUAUAAUCUUAAUCAAUACAAACUUUCACCUCUGUAGAAUCUAGUUACACUUAAAGUAUACCUUUUUCAAUAGGUGAACAGAACCGUUGAGGAUGUGCUUGGGGAAGAGGUUGUGUUUCCAGGUAUAAAAUUAAAGGACAAAAUUUGAGACUGUGAGGGCAAAUGCACAAACUGCAGUAAAUGAAACAAAGGCCCGAAAAGAAGCAGCAGUGGCAGCAAGACAAACAUUCACUCUAGAUGAAAAGGUACUAAGGAAGAACCGCAGGAGCCAGCAGAGGAAAGGGGGAAAAAUGGAUCGGGACCUUCUGGGCCCUUUCACCAUUACGGCUGUACAGGGCAAAAGUGCAGAUUUGACUGAUGAGAAAGGAAAGGUCUUUCCAAGUAUCAGCUUGGAUCACUUGGUGCCCUAUACAGAAGAGGUUCCUCGUUUACCACACAAAGUACUUUUCUAGGGUUGCUCUUGGAAGACCUGGAUCUCCGGCCCCAGCUGUGGUCAGUCGAGGAUCUCCGGCCCCAGCUGUGGUCAGACGAGGAUCUCCGGCCCCAGCUGUAGUCAGUCCAGUUAUUCUUGAGAAAUGUAAUAAAUGCAUAUAUAACAGCACUGGUGAGGAGAUUUAAUCUUGAAGGGGACGAAAAAGCCUUCCUCAUUGAAUCAUUCACCAUGAGCAAAAUAUGGCGGGGCUCAUAUCAAACACUGAGAGCUUGAUCCCAGCAAGUACAGUUUGAUUUUGGGCAUUAUAAAUGAACAUCACCACUGGACACUUGCUGUUCUGUAUCCAUCCCAAAAGAAGACUAUUUUCUUGGAUCCACUGGGAGAGUCCAAAGAAAUUUGUAGAGGAUGUUCUUGAAGGCAGACAGAGCAACUUUUCCCCCCGAAGGGAGUCCAUUGCCGUUAUCUGAAAGGAAAUGGCAAUCAGCCUUCUUAAGGAAUCAGGUAUAAAGGGUAAUAGUACAGUAUGAGAGUUAAUACCGAAGGCACUGAUGAUGCACUUGUAAUAUUCUAAGCUCUUUUUACUGCACAGAUUAAUUUUGGGCCUGGAUCAUGAAGCUGCAUUUAAGUUAGGUUUAGCUUAAAUUCUCACAAUUGACAAUACAGUAAUAGUUCAGUGAGCUUGUUAAAUCUAGCCAGGUUCAUUGCAUUAAAAUUGAUCACUUAAUUGCACUUUGUUGGGUGAGCAGCAGCGUUGUCGUGUUAAUCUUGUAUUGUACAUGAAUAAAAAAAAUUGUGCAGCUAAACAUUUAAAAUGACUGGUAAAUACAUACAUGAAGAACAAACUACUUCAUCUACAGUAGUGAAACAGUCUGGUGGUGGAGUUUCUAACUAUUUCUAACUUGCAUGUGAGACUGCAAUGUCUGGGGGCCACUAAAGUUGCUGUUUUCAGGAAUGAAUAGUUGAUACAGGUAAGAGUACCUGAGAUGUACCUAUUAGUGCACGUUCUAAAAUAUGCACCCAAAUAUGAUUAUUGCACAGAUGAUCUGAGCAGUCUGUCUGUUUUGUGGAGAGCAGGACACUCUGGGGGAUGCAGUGUCACAAGAUGAAUGGGUAAUUUAGUAGUGAACACUUUAGUUGUAUUUUUAAACUUUUUCAACUGCAACUCCAAACAUCUUCUAAUCAAAAUUAAAAAUAAAUAAAUACAGAAAUAGAAGUAGAUGUUUUCUAAAAGUUUAUGCAAAUUAAAUGUCCAUGGUUUCCAUACUUCGUUAUGAUUUCCUAAUUAAACUCUACACUGCAUUAGUUUUUCUGCACCCUCUACUUUCCUUUGUAUUUUUCAGAUUGCGUGCGAUGGCUGCAGCAGGUGGUUCCUCCACGUGUUUCACGGCCAUCAACUUAGGUCAGCUUUUGUGCAGCAUGCACAAUGUGAGGACACACAGAUGCUUCAUUUCCACUGCAGGCGCAACUGGGCCAGCCGCGCAAGAGCCGUGCCCCCGCCAAGAAACGUCUCCAGUGACGGGCCUCCCUAACCAGAGCUGUUGUAGCCUACUCGAGUCUCAGCUAAUGCUACCGUGGAACACAGAGAAGACGGCUUUGGGACUUUUUAUUGUUAUAAACAUUUCUUAUUGAUUGCUGCUGUUAGACAAUUACAUUACCUUUGCUGCUGUAACCAUUUCCAACGUUACUGAUAUUGAUAUAGUUAGCUGGUUAUUGCUGUAGCCGAACCUAUAUUUAAGUUGUGAUGGUUACUGCUGUUAUGGAUAUAGCUAUUUGUCCAUUGUUGCUAUUGCUGUAGCUAAAUCUAUAUUUGAAUUGUGAUAAUCAUUGUGAAUACUGCUGCUACUGAUCCAGCUAUUGUUAUUGCGACCAAUAUUUAGUUAUAUUUUGUAUAUGUGCUUGGCCAUUGUAGUGUGUUUUUAAUCUGAUUGUUUUAAUAAUUAAAUUAAUCCCUUUCAAAA
Molecule: RNA transcript, 5009 nt
Organism: Acipenser ruthenus (sterlet)
Lineage: Eukaryota; Metazoa; Chordata; Actinopteri; Acipenseriformes; Acipenseridae
Exons: 8
Source: RefSeq, a predicted model, not a curated record